UCCCUGGCGGUGAAGUGGUUAAGACUUUGUGCUUCCAAUGCAAGGGAUACAGGUUCAACCCCUGGUCAGGGAA
Molecule: transfer RNA, 73 nt
Filed under: Bos taurus (domestic cattle)
Lineage: Eukaryota; Metazoa; Chordata; Mammalia; Artiodactyla; Bovidae
Also listed under: 3 other names
Rfam family: tRNA
About the family: Transfer RNA (tRNA) molecules are approximately 80 nucleotides in length. Their secondary structure includes four short double-helical elements and three loops (D, anti-codon, and T loops).
Source: Rfam by way of RNAcentral